This 204-nucleotide ribosomal RNA is filed under the name uncultured bacterium. Its description in RNAcentral is "partial 16S ribosomal RNA". It matches the Rfam family "Bacterial small subunit ribosomal RNA", at positions 335 to 528 of the family's 1533-position model. The record is from RNAcentral.
ACUCCUACGGGAGGCAGCAGUGGGGAAUAUUGCACAAUGGGCGCAAGCCCUGAUGCAGCCAUGCCGCGUGUAUGAAGAAGGCCUUCGGGUUGUAAAGUACUUUCAGCAGUGAGGAAGGCGGGGUACGUUAAUAGCGUGCUCGUUUGACGUUAGCUGCAGAAGAAGCACCGGGCUAACUCCGUGCCAGCAGCCGCGNAAUNNCGG